RNAcentral lists this long non-coding RNA (368 nucleotides) under Erythranthe guttata (spotted monkey flower). Its description in RNAcentral is "long non-coding RNA (EGUT_LNC002547)". The record is from RNAcentral. Lineage: Eukaryota; Viridiplantae; Streptophyta; Magnoliopsida; Lamiales; Phrymaceae.
GAAUGUAAGGAUUGGAGGGAGAUAAAGAAAGAACUGAGAAAUUAGGGCUUCUGUUUUUCUUUUUUUGGAAAUCUAAUGGGUGGUGGAGGAAAAAUUCAGUCUUUAGAGUUUAAGAGCAAUGGGGUUUUAUCAGAUUCUCAAUUAGGGCUUCAAUGGAACAACCAAGAUUGCAACCUUUACCCUGGCGGUGGCUUGUUUGCGUCUGUGAGUCAAGUGGGAAACAACGACAAUGGCGGUUUCAAAUUACCGUAUGCCGAUUUGCUCGGGAAGUAUGUUUCACUGCCUGAGGGUUUUAAGGUUUCGGGUAUGUCGGAGGAGGAAAAGGUGGUGACGAAUAAGAAGAAGAAAAAUAAUGGGCUUAAGCUGAA